This 254-nucleotide ribosomal RNA is filed under the name uncultured bacterium. Its description in RNAcentral is "partial 16S ribosomal RNA". It matches the Rfam family "Bacterial small subunit ribosomal RNA", at positions 524 to 776 of the family's 1533-position model. The record is from RNAcentral.
UACGUAGGGUGCAAGCGUUGUCCGGAAUUAUUGGGCGUAAAGAGCUCGUAGGCGGUCUGUCGCGUCGGCUGUGAAAACCCGGGGCUCAACCCCGGGCCUGCAGUCGAUACGGGCAGACUAGAGUGCGGUAGGGGAGACUGGAAUUCCUGGUGUAGCGGUGAAAUGCGCAGAUAUCAGGGAGGAACACCGGUGGCGAAGGCGGGUCUCUGGGCCGUAACUGACGCUGAGGAGCGAAAGCGUGGGGAGCGAACAGG